RNAcentral lists this transfer RNA (97 nucleotides) under Gyrocotyle urna. RNAcentral's name for it is "tRNA-Ser". Lineage: Eukaryota; Metazoa; Platyhelminthes; Cestoda; Gyrocotylidea; Gyrocotylidae. The record is from RNAcentral.
UGUGUAGAAGUUUAUAUGGGUUAAGUUCGUUGGGGUUAUUAGAGAAAGAAUUGAUUACUGCUAAUAAUUGUUAGCCAAUUUAAUUUGGCCUUCUCUU